CUGAGAAGCAAUCUAAGAUACUGGGCUCGGCCAUUAAGUUCUUUAGGUUCGAGCAACGAUCCUGAAGACAUGGCUGAAGUCUCCUCUUGGCAGGUUUAAAAAAAACAAAACCUUCUUUCUACCUUUUUCGUGAUUUCCUUGAGCUUAAACUGAUUUUUGUGUGCAGGCUUCAUGGGAAGUCGAGUUCAAAGCCCUUUUGUCCAGCACUACUGGAGUGGCUGG
Molecule: long non-coding RNA, 222 nt
Filed under: Malus domestica (apple)
Lineage: Eukaryota; Viridiplantae; Streptophyta; Magnoliopsida; Rosales; Rosaceae
Description: long non-coding RNA (MDOM_LNC016355)
Source: RNAcentral